This 83-nucleotide transfer RNA is filed under the name bacterium. Its description in RNAcentral is "tRNA-Tyr". It matches the Rfam family "tRNA". From Rfam's summary of the family: Transfer RNA (tRNA) molecules are approximately 80 nucleotides in length. The record is from RNAcentral. RNAcentral also lists the same sequence under 1 other name.
GGGCAGGUUGCGGAGCGGCCAAUCGCACCAGACUGUAAAUCUGGCGGCUUAUGCCUUCGGAGGUUCGAAUCCUCCCCUGCCCA